CGCGAGCCCAGCUACCGCUUCGUAAUAAAUGUGGAAAAUUAGUUUUCAAUAAACACACGGCAGUAGCACCCCACUCUGGGACUGUGGUGUUUGCAGCAGUAGCACCACGGUGGAGGUGGAGAAGACCUUGUGUGUUGGUGUGGCUUUUUUGCUGCUGCUGUUUGGUGUGCCGUAUACGUACGGAUAGCUCUCGUCAGCGGUGUUUCACCGGAGGGGAAGUACUGUGAUUGACCGUGUGUACACCCGUCCCGUCCCCACAGCACAGACGAUCAGAUCCGGGGAUCCGCGUAACAGUGGCGACACUUGCUCGGUGAUCGUUUCCUCUGAUCGAUCGAAUUGGGAGUAGGCUUAGGGGAGAGAGAGACACAGAUAUUUGUGGUUGGAGGAUGAAGGAAAGAGUCUAACGAACACCUAACGGGCGUGAUAGAUCGUCUAGCGGUGUGUUACAACACAGAAAUCCCUCCAGCAUGCACAGACAGCAGUAACCUGCUGGUAAUAUCCAAACCUACAGGGUAACGUCAAGUAGGGGCGACGACGUGAUGAUACGAAGAUGAUAUCAUUUACAAACUCGGGGGAAGUGUGUGUGUGUGUGUGUGUGUGUGUGUUUACUUUCGGCCCCUGAUUGUGCGGGAGUUUCGAGCGGCACCGGCAGCACUAAAGUGAGUGAAUGCACGAAGUACCCACACGUCCGUCGUUUGUGCGAUGAGUUGAUUGCUUGAGGCUAAAGGAAGGCCGCUACGCGCGGUAUGAUCGACGAAAAGUGUAAUUAUCGUAUGACAACAUCCUAUCAAACACCAGCCGGGUUAACGCGAUGGUACGGAUCGGAUUCGUUGCGCGAUCAAUCCAGCGGAGCAACGUGGCUGAAACGGCUGGUUCGGUUGGGUUCAUACGAGUGAACAUUCUUCAAAAAUUAUAGCUGAUUAUACUCAUGAUGCGUCGUACCGUCGAUCAUCAUCUAUCUAAUAUGCUGAAAAAUUUCCAAUAAAUACACCAGCAUAUUUUUCUAUUUACCUUCAGGCAGUGAAUUACAUUAAACGUUAUUUUAAGAUCCCCCACCUUCGCUCCAAAAACUGUGAUAAGAGCACUGUGAUGAGAAGCAAUUAAAUUAAGGCAGUCAAGCGGGUACUAGGGUGAGAGUAGGGGAGAGAGAAAUUUCAUUAAACCACAUAGUUGCGUCAGAGAACGAUUUUGGGCACUGUCGAAGCAAAAGAAUACGAUGCUAGGAACUAGGGGCGCCAGAUGGUGUGAGCGAAGCGAAAAUAAUACCGAGAACUCUGUAUUUGCUUUGUAAAAACAAAGGACAAUUGUCUGCGCUAAGGCACGUGCGCGCUUUUGGUGGCCGAUCGGCCUUUCUUAGAAUUUCAUAGGUUAAGCGACAAACCACAGAAGUUUGCUAUCAUGAGCGUAUGAAAUAAAAGGGCAGUCCAUCUUUAGCACUCGACGCGAUCGGUCAAAAUAAAAGAAUUUUCACAGCA
Molecule: long non-coding RNA, 1475 nt
Organism: Anopheles arabiensis
Lineage: Eukaryota; Metazoa; Arthropoda; Insecta; Diptera; Culicidae
Exons: 3
Source: RefSeq, a predicted model, not a curated record